RNAcentral lists this ribosomal RNA (277 nucleotides) under uncultured bacterium. Its description in RNAcentral is "partial 16S ribosomal RNA". It matches the Rfam family "Bacterial small subunit ribosomal RNA", at positions 338 to 607 of the family's 1533-position model. The record is from RNAcentral.
CCUACGGGAGGCAGCAGUGGGGAAUUUUGGACAAUGGGCGCAAGCCUGAUCCAGCUAUUCCGCGUGUGGGAUGAAGGCCCUCGGGUUGUAAACCACUUUUGUAGAGAACGAAAAGACACCUUUUAAUAAAGGGUGUUGCUGACGGUACUCUAAGAAUAUGCACCGGCUAACUACGUGCCAGCAGCCGCGGUAAUACGUAGGUGGCAAGCGUUGUCCGGAUUUAUUGGGCGUAAAGCGAGUGCAGGCGGUUCAAUAAGUCUGAUGUGAAAGCCCUGUG